CCUACGGGACGCAGCAGUGGGGAAUAUUGGACAAUGGGGGGAACCCUGAUCAAGCCAUGCCGCGUGUGUGAAGAAGGCCUUUUGGUUGUAAAGCACUUUAAGCGAGGAGGAGGCUACCGAGAUUAAUACUCUUGGAUAGUGGACGUUACUCGCAGAAUAAGCACCGGCUAACUCUGUGCCAGCAGCCGCGGUAAUACAGAGGGUGCAAGCGUUAAUCGGGUUUACUGGGCGUAAAGCGCGCGUAGGUGGCCAAUUAAGUCAAAUGUGAAAUCCCCGAGCUUAACUUGGGAAUUGCAUUCGAUACUGGUUGGCUAGAGUAUGGGAGAGGAUGGUAGAAUUCCAGGUGUAGCGGUGAAAUGCGUAGAGAUCUGGAGGAAUACCGAUGGUGAAGGCAGCCAUCUGGCCUAAUACUGACACUGAGGUGCGAAAGCAUGGGGAGCAAACAGGAUUAGAUACCCGCGUAGUC
Molecule: ribosomal RNA, 466 nt
Filed under: uncultured bacterium
Lineage: Bacteria
Description: bacterial SSU rRNA
Rfam family: Bacterial small subunit ribosomal RNA
Source: RNAcentral